UGUAUCCAUGAUUUCAACAUUUCAUUUGUGAUCCAUCAUCAGAAAAGUUGAAGGAUAGUUCAAUGUCAUGGUUGCCGAGGCACGAAAAAAGAAAAGGAGGCAGAAAGUAGCAACUAUUCUGCUUAAAGCCUGUGAUGCACUCUCACUUCUGUGGGGUUACCGCUACCUGGCUCUGCGAGCUUACGAAGAUGAUUCAGCAGCUCAAAACCUGUAUUCAAAAGCAGGCUACAAAGUGAUAUCAGGAGAUCCUCAUUGGAUUGGUUGGAUUGGCAAGAAGCGUCGUGUUCUAAUGAUAAAACCAUCUGUCUUGCACCAAACUCCCUAAAUUCAACUUUGAAAGCUUGCCAGCCUACAACUUUGUCAUUAUAAAUUUAAAACAUGAAAAGCAGAUCCCACUAACAAUUUUCAUCUCAUGCUGGUCUGCAUUGAUUGGAGAUGCCAAAAUACCGCUCCAAAUUUUUCAGAUGCCUCCGGAUGGAUGGAUGGAUGUUAAUGUACAAGUAAAAUGGUGUUGCGGUGAUAAUCAUUAAUCAACGAAAUAGUUGUAUUCUUCAUGUAUUGCAAGCAGAUUCAUGUCAUGCAAUUUCAUGCUUAGAAUAUCCAUCAUGUAGCUUGAGUUCGCAAAAUAUGCUAUACAACCUUUCUUGGAUGUUUUUAUGAAA
Molecule: non-coding RNA, 662 nt
Organism: Phoenix dactylifera (date palm)
Lineage: Eukaryota; Viridiplantae; Streptophyta; Magnoliopsida; Arecales; Arecaceae
Source: RefSeq, a predicted model, not a curated record